This 253-nucleotide ribosomal RNA is filed under the name uncultured bacterium. Its description in RNAcentral is "partial 16S ribosomal RNA". It matches the Rfam family "Bacterial small subunit ribosomal RNA", at positions 524 to 776 of the family's 1533-position model. The record is from RNAcentral.
UACGUAGGGCGCGAGCGUUGUCCGGAAUUAUUGGGCGUAAAGGGCUCGUAGGCGGUUUGUUGCGUCGGGAGUGAAAACUUCGAGCUUAACUCGGAGCUUGCUUUCGAUACGGGCAGACUUGAGGCAUUCAGGGGAGAACGGAAUUUCUGGUGUAGCGGUGAAAUGCGCAGAUAUCAGAAGGAACACCGGUGGCGAAGGCGGUUCUCUGGGAAUGUUCUGACGCUGAGGAGCGAAAGUGUGGGGAGCGAACAGG